AGGUGAGGAAAUCAAGGCACUGAUGUUCAAGGCAAUGUACGCAUGCUUUGAAAAUAGCAGGUUCCUUGGGAGUAUGUGCAACCUGAUUCAUGUAUGAGUUGCCCUAAGUGAUCUUGGAGAUGGUU
This 125-nucleotide small nucleolar RNA is filed under the name Mus musculus (house mouse). Its description in RNAcentral is "small nucleolar RNA SNORA70". The stretch from base 30 to 125 matches the Rfam family "Small nucleolar RNA SNORA70". From Rfam's summary of the family: snoRNA U70 seems to be exclusive to mammals and is a member of the H/ACA class of snoRNA which contain H (ANANNA) and ACA box motifs. H/ACA box snoRNAs are involved in the conversion of uridines to pseudouridines (5-ribosyluracil) a constituent of structural RNAs (transfer, ribosomal, small nuclear, and small nucleolar). The record is from RNAcentral. Lineage: Eukaryota; Metazoa; Chordata; Mammalia; Rodentia; Muridae.